UACGGAGGAUGCGAGCGUUAUCCGGAUUUAUUGGGUUUAAAGGGUGCGUAGGCGGAUCGUUAAGUCAGUGGUCAAAUUGAGGGGCUCAACCCCUUCCCGCCAUUGAAACUGGCGAUCUUGAGUGGAAGAGAAGUAUGCGGAAUGCGUGGUGUAGCGGUGAAAUGCAUAGAUAUCACGCAGAACCCCGAUUGCGAAGGCAGCGUACCGGCGCCCUACUGACGCUGAAGCACGAAGGCGUGGGUAUCGAACAGG
RNAcentral lists this ribosomal RNA (252 nucleotides) under uncultured bacterium. RNAcentral's name for it is "partial 16S ribosomal RNA". It matches the Rfam family "Bacterial small subunit ribosomal RNA", at positions 524 to 776 of the family's 1533-position model. The record is from RNAcentral.